GGAUGUGGUUGCUGGAAUCAGAACCCCGGAGGAUCUUGAUGCCAUGAAGGCACAGAUGCCGGAUGCUUAUGUAGAGCUCGUUGAGAACUGCAAGAUACUGGAGAGCCACUACAAAGAAAUGAUGGUACCUUAUUAUUGCAUUUUCAACCUUUACUGCACCAUUUAUUUUUGAGCUAUAUUUAAACAUGAUCUCUUUAAUAAUUUGCAACAUAAGCGCACUUGAAUACUGGUGUUGCUUCAAUGUGUUCUGUAGAUUGGCAUUGUGUCUCUGUUACUGCCAUUGGCCAUGAUCUCAGACUUGCUUGCUUUUUAUGCAUGAUGCAGGACAUUGAAUUUACCGUUCAGGAAAAUAGGCUCUGGAUGUUACAGUGCAGAUCAGGAAAACGUACAGGCCAAGGGGCGGUAAAGAUUGCUGUGGACAUGGUUAAUGAGGGUCUUGUUGAGCGCCGUCAAGCGAUUAAGAUGGUAGAGCCAGGCCACCUGGACCAGCUUCUCCAUCCUCAGGUAAUGGAUAACCAUGAGGCCCGUAAACUGAUUGUGCCUUACUUGAAAUUCAGUACUCUUAUAAGUUUGGCCUUACUUGGAAUUCACUUUAUAAGUUAAGUACUGGAUAUGUAUUAACAUCACUGUUUUAAUCUUGUCCAAUGAAAACCAGUUUGAGAACCCAUCAGCAUACAAGGAUCAAGUAAUCGCUACAGGCUUACCAGCUUCACCUGGGGCUGCUGUGGGCCAAAUUGUAUUUACUGCAGAGGACGCUGAAGCAUGGCAUGCCCAAGGGAAAGCUGCUAUCCUGGUAAACACCAUUUUAUCCUCAUUUUUAAGAAAAAAAGGUCUUCUGCAGUUUUUGUGUCAUUUUGAUCUGGACUUUGUGCUUCGAUGAAAAGAUCUGUUAAUUGAGCAAAACUGGUCUAUUUACUGGACCUGUUAGAAUAGUUGCUUGCAGAGUUACAGUCACAAAAAUCCCACUUAUCACAGACAGCCAUUUUUGAAAUGCAUAUGGAAGCUCCAAGUCGUAUCGCUUCAUCUUUUGCAUUCUGAGAAUUUUUUCUUUGCAAAUAUAUAGGUGAGGACAGAGACCAGCCCAGAGGAUGUUGGUGGCAUGCACGCAGCUGUUGGAAUUCUUACAGCAAGAGGUGGGAUGACCUCUCAUGCUGCUGUGGUAGCACGUGGUUGGGGAAAAUGUUGUGUCUCAGGAUGCUCAAGCGUUCUCGUAAAUGAUGCUGAGAAGGUGAAUAGAAUUCUUGUUUGCACAUCUUCUUCUUUGUAGAAGGUGACAUGCCAUGUUAAAGUUUGUAACAGGAUUAUGACAUUCUUUGUAGAUGUGCUCCGUCCGCCAUUUUUAAGUUCUUAUUAACGAGAUUUUGAGGAUGUAGAUGUUUCCUUACUUUGCUAUGUCUACAUUUACAGUCUGUAGUGAUUGGAGACAAGGUGAUGCAUGAAGGUGAGUGGCUAUCACUGAAUGGAUCUACUGGUGAAGUCAUCGUGGGGAAGCAGCCACUUUCCCCACCAGUCCUCAGUGGUGAUCUGGGAACCUUCAUGUCCUGGGUAGAUGAAGUUAGGCAACUGAAGGUAAAUUCCUAGAAAUAACAAAUAUGUAAUAUUAGUUAAAACAUGGAUACAAACUGUUGGAAGUAGAAACCAACAAAAAGGGCAUCAGAUUAUUUAUUCAGACAGGCCAAAGCUAGUCAACCCCACUACACAUUUUUCAACAGAAAUGCUUAUUCGUACAUAUGAUCCACCUUCCAGGUUUUGGCUAAUGCGGAUACCCCUGAGGAUGCACUGACAGCAAGAAACAAUGGGGCAGAAGGAAUUGGACUAUGCCGGACGGAGCACAUGGUAUGUAUUUUAGUUACUGUCCAAUAUCUUUUGGGUGGGAUCUUGGAAAACUUACUCUUUCUUGAAUUCCUUCGUCGAACAGUUGGGUAAACUUUAAGGACCUCCCGUUCUAGUCUCAUGUUCUCCUUUUCUGCACUUUGGCAGUUCUUUGCUUCGGAUGAGAGGAUUAAGGCUGUGAGGCAGAUGAUUAUGGCUCCCACACUUGAACUGAGGCAGAAGGCACUAGAUCGUCUUUUGCCUUAUCAGAGGUCUGACUUUGAAGGCAUUUUCCGUGCUAUGGAUGGUAUGUGAAAAUCACGAUGCAUUCAUUUACAUGCUCUCCAAUUGAACUGGAUGCACUAGUGUUACUGAACAUAACAAGAGUAAGCAACCUUCUUAAAUAGACAACAUUGACUACUAAUGUAAAGUGAAAAGGUAGACAAGUUUUAAACCUUAGGAUGCAAAAUACUUCAAAAAUAAGAACGAAAUUGGGCCAGUAACAUAUUGCAUCAAUUAUUUAACUUGGUAACAUAAAGUUCUGCUAUGAUUUAUCCAUUAGUUUUUUUUAAUCUUUUAUAGCGAGUGGUAUAUGUACAUGUUUCAUGGAAACAGAUAUAGAAUUAAACUACUAGAAUAAAUUUUAACAUGUAUUGUAGUUAGUUCCACAGUAUGUAUUUUAAAGUGCGGAAUGGAUUUGAACAUUAUUUUUUUUGCAUUUCAGGGCUUUCAGUGACUAUUCGGCUUCUGGACCCCCCACUUCAUGAGUUUCUUCCUGACGGGAAUGUUGAAGACAUUGUGCGUGAAUUAUGUUCUGAAACUGGAGCCAAUCAGGAGGAAGCCCUUGCAAGAAUUGAAAGUCUUUCAGAAGUAAAUCCAAUGCUUGGUUUCCGUGGGUGCAGGUUGGUUUUUGUGCUCCGUUUAAAUCAGUCACCCCCCCUCCUUGAUCCAUUUGGUUCCCUUGUUAGUGAAAUAUUAAAAAGAAUAAACUCUGUAUAUUUACCUCGACUAAUAUUGGAACUGCUAAAAUUCCAGGCUCGGUAUAUCAUAUCCUGAGCUAACAGAAAUGCAAGCCCGUGCCAUCUUUGAAGCUGCUAUAGCGAUGACCAACCAGGGUGUUCAAGUUUUCCCAGAGAUAAUGGUUCCUCUUGUUGGGACACCUCAGGCAUGCAUCUUUAUUUCCUUAUUUGUGCAUAUGGUAUCUCUGCAGUUCAUGGUGUUCAAAAUGACAAAAUCAAAAUUGAAUAAACAACCAAGUUCUGUACACAUGUAAUUUACGAUUUUAUGCAAACAUCAAGUUGACCUACACCCAAUUUCCCACCAAAUUCAUUUCUUGAAAUUUUCUCUCUCGAAUUCUAAGUUUAUUGCUUUCACUUGAUUUUUCCUUCAGACAUCUGACAUUUGACUUUUGCAGGAACUGGGGAAUCAAGUGGCCCUUAUCCGUGAAACUGCUAACAAAGUUUUCGCUGCUCUGGGUAAAACCAUUGACUACAAAAUUGGAACUAUGAUUGAAAUUCCGAGGGCAGCUCUAGUAGCUGAUGAGGUAGGAAGCAUCUAACUCCCUUCAGAAUAAUCUUAAAUAUUGCUGUUUAGGUUUAGCUUUUAGAUCAUAUUUUUCAUGAAUGGUUUAGUAAUAGAACCCCGGAUUUUUACUCUAAAACAUGUGAAUAGUAACUGAUGGUAUGAAUUUAUUAAGUGCAAAUAAUAAGUUUAUCCUCUAAUUUAAAAAAAAAACUGACAUUCUUGUUUUGGUUUCACAACCUGACAGAUAGCAGAGCAGGCUGAAUUCUUCUCUUUUGGAACGAACGACCUCACACAGAUGACAUUUGGCUACAGCAGGGAUGAUGUGGGGAAGUUUCUUCCCAUUUAUCUGUCUCAGGGUAUCCUCCAACAUGAUCCCUUUGAGGUAAAAUUUUAGCAGCUCUCACCCUUCAGUUUUAGAUGAUAUACCUGCAUUUUCAUCAUCCACUCUUGUUUUUCAAGGAAUAUUUCCAUCAUCCACAGAUGCGAGCAUCUCAUGUCCUCUAGGCAUUUUUCAUGUCCUUGACUUUUGGUUACGUGCAUGCUCUGGUAAAAUUCAACCUAGUAACUUGCCCAUUGAAUGUUGAUAAACAUAUCAGGUGCUGGAUCAGAGGGGAGUGGGCGAGCUGGUUAAGUUUGCUACAGAGAGGGGUCGCAAAGCUAGGCCUAACUUGAAGGUUAGUUUUUGGGACUUGUGGACAUUGGCUCUUUUCCUUAGAAAUCAUGGUUUCAUUGUUUGGUGCUGUCUGCAAACAGGUGGGCAUCUGUGGAGAACACGGUGGGGAGCCUUCGUCAGUUGCAUUCUUUGCAAAGUCGGGGCUGGAUUAUGUUUCUUGCUCGCCUUUCAGGUUGGUCAAGUGAUAAACUCAAGAUACAACUCCCAGAUUCAUAACUGUAGCAAAACCUUAACUACUUUUUAUGAAAUAUCUUGUGCAGGGUUCCCAUCGCCAGGCUAGCUGCAGCUCAGGUGCUCGUCUGAGGGCACCGCCUCAUCGGCAACCGGAUCACCUGCUGUUGGUGCGUCUGGUGAAGAAUACUAAUACAAAGCCAUGGAACGGUGGAACUCUGCUGCCUGGCAAAGGCCGUUGUAUCUUGUAUGAAGUCUCCGUGCGCGUGCGCAUGUAAGACUUAAUGUGUGGUUUUCUGCAUUUUCCCUUGAACUACCAUGGUAAUGUAGUACCAAACAGAGAUGAUGACGAAGAACAAUCGAAUAAAUUAAUUGGCGAUUAC
Molecule: long non-coding RNA, 4563 nt
Filed under: Setaria viridis
Lineage: Eukaryota; Viridiplantae; Streptophyta; Magnoliopsida; Poales; Poaceae
Description: long non-coding RNA (SVIR_LNC002901)
Source: RNAcentral